CCUGGCUCAGAUUGAACGCUGGCGGCAUGCCUUACACAUGCAAGUCGAACGGCAGCACGGGGGCAACCCUGGUGGCGAGUGGCGAACGGGUGAGUAAUACAUCGGAACGUGCCCUGUAGUGGGGGAUAACUAGUCGAAAGAUUAGCUAAUACCGCAUACGACCUGAGGGUGAAAGCGGGGGACCGCAAGGCCUCGCGCUACAGGAGCGGCCGAUGUCUGAUUAGCUAGUUGGUGGGGUAAAAGCCUACCAAGGCGACGAUCAGUAGCUGGUCUGAGAGGACGAUCAGCCACACUGGGACUGAGACACGGCCCAGACUCCUACGGGAGGCAGCAGUGGGGAAUUUUGGACAAUGGGGGCAACCCUGAUCCAGCAAUGCCGCGUGUGUGAAGAAGGCCUUCGGGUUGUAAAGCACUUU
RNAcentral lists this ribosomal RNA (416 nucleotides) under Cupriavidus sp. R-31542. RNAcentral's name for it is "bacterial SSU rRNA". It matches the Rfam family "Bacterial small subunit ribosomal RNA", at positions 18 to 436 of the family's 1533-position model. Lineage: Bacteria; Pseudomonadati; Pseudomonadota; Betaproteobacteria; Burkholderiales; Burkholderiaceae. RNAcentral also lists the same sequence under 1 other name. The record is from RNAcentral.